Molecule: non-coding RNA, 73 nt
Organism: Pteropus alecto (black flying fox)
Lineage: Eukaryota; Metazoa; Chordata; Mammalia; Chiroptera; Pteropodidae
Source: Rfam
GGUUCCAUAGGGCGGCGGUCAGCACGUCUGUUUUACACGCAGAAGGUCCUGGGUUCGCGCCCCAGUGGAGCCA